RNAcentral lists this long non-coding RNA (8215 nucleotides) under Homo sapiens (human). Its description in RNAcentral is "HSALNT0249141". The record is from RNAcentral. Lineage: Eukaryota; Metazoa; Chordata; Mammalia; Primates; Hominidae.
CAAGGCUGUGAAAAUAAAAAUUCAAAUUUACUUUUAGAGUAAAUGUUAUUAAGAUAUAAGGUGGCAUUAGAAUUCUGCUUAUUUUUCUGGGCUUUCACUCUCACCUUUGCUUGGUUUUCAGUCACUUACUUUUUUUUUUUUUUUUUUUUUUUGCCAAACUCAUCAAUGCUUUCUGUAUAUCAGCAUUGUUCAUUAUUUUCCAUAUGAGGAUAGGCCAGAGUAUCUUCUCCAUCAGACUUCGGGAAGCUACAGUCCUCUCGACAGUUACUAUUCUAGUUCCUAUUCCCAGAGUGCCAAUUCUUGCUAGACAAAGUUUUGGGAGUUUCUAACUUCAUUCACCUGAAUGUUCACUGCUAUUUAAAAUCUUUUUCCUCUUGGCCUUGACCCCUGGCCCUCUGCUUUCCUACAAGUAUGGAGACACCAUCAGGUAUGAGUUCUCUCCUCUCCUAUCCUCUCUACUUUACAAUACCUCUUUAUCCACUUAAUCUUUCCUACUUAUUCUUCCCCCCAAGUCUCCCUUGGAGAAUUGCCCCUCCUUUCUAAGGCCAAAUCCUCUACCCUUGCUAUGAAUUCCAUUUUUGUGGCCAAAAUUCCUCUUUCUUUGCUCAUGAUCUUUUGCCAAUUAUAUUCUUACUAAUCGUUCAAGGCUGAGUUUAGUACUUUCUCCCCUGUGAUGCCUUUUGAAAUGUCCCUUCCCCCUUCAUCCCUAAUUUCCUCUCGACUCCAAGAGCACUUUGUUAUUAACAUAACAUUAACACAGGACUUACACUGUUGUAAAAGGGAAUUAUUUGCAUAACUGUCGUUUCUCCUUCUAAAUUGUGAGUUCCUUAGAGAAGACACCAUUUUCUGCAUUAUUUCUUACUGUGCGAAACAUAAUACUUUGCAUAUAGUGGCUCAUUGUAAAUGCUUCUUGCCUUCCUUAGAAAUCAGUCUCUUCAACAAUCUCUUUUCUUUACUCUGUCUUCAUUUUCACUAGAUCCCUCCUUUCUAUGGUCAGACACAUUCGAGUAUUUUGGAACUUGAAGGGAAAGAAAAAAAUCUCUGCUUAAUCCUGCUAUUUCCCUUUUUAUCUUUCUUUUUCUAAAUAUCUUAAACAUAUGGUCUGUGACUUCUGUCUUCUUUCUUUACCCUGCAUCUUUCUUUAACCGUCUGUAAUCUGACCUCCACUCUCACCACUCUACUUAGACUACACUCUUAAAAAUGAGUUUCCUUCCGAUUACCACAGCCAUGUCCUAUCUGCAGCUUCUGUUUGAUACUCUGAGCACCCCUGGUGGGAGAGCGACCUCUGCCUAGUGUGGCCCUGGGGUGCUGCCAGGGUCUCCUGCCCUCUGACCACUCUUCCUCCCCUCCACCCAAGCCUGUUCUCAGCUCACAGCUUUCCUUCCUAUACUGAGGGACCCCCGCCCCACGUUUGUGACUUUAGCUAUUAUGGAUGGGGCUGCUUUUCGCAUCUUCAUUCUCCUUCCCUAAUUUCUUCGAAAACCAAAAUCUGAAUUCUUAAAUUUUUUCCAGACAUUUUCAUUUGAUGCCCCUCUGCUCAAGAAGGCUCCCUUUCCUCAAUAUGUUCAUCUCUUCCAUCACUUCCUGGUUCCUUUAGGCUCAACAAUCUCAGUUUUGUUUGAUCUUUCCCAAUUUCUUACUCCUCUCUUUCUCACCCCCUGUGAAGGUGGCUCAGCCUCCACAAAAUCUCUCUCGAUUCCAGCUGUCUUUGCUUUGGUUUAGGACUCAUCCCUGGAUGAGUGCACCAGGCUCCCUGGCUAUGCCUCUGCUAUCAGGUUCUUUCCUUUCUCAGUCCUCUUGCAUAUCAUUGCCUAAUAUUAUAAAAAUUCCAUUCAAGGUCUGAUGGAGGUCUAUGGAAAAAGAUGAUGGAUUAGAGAAUCCGACAAGUCAGGAUUUGAAUCCCAACUUCACUACUUACUGGCUGUGAGGUGUCAGUUUCCUUCAUUUCUGUGAGAGGAAUGACACUCAUCGCAUAGGAUUUUAGUGAAUAUUAAGUAAGGCAAUCUGUUAAUAAUAAAAUUACCUUUCUACAUGUUUUUAUUUUUAACAGAUCAAUAAGCAUUUUCAGAGCAAUUAGGUCAUUUCUCCAAGGUCACAGUCUAUAAAGCAGAGCAGGGUUUUUCACAUAUCUCACAAGGCAAGGUGAAUAUAAGCUUUAAAUUUGUCUGUAUUAAUUAAUGAAUCCAUAUUCCUAAUGCCUAGUAACAAAUCCUACAUUCACUCAGUUCUUCAGGAGCCAAGAGAAGAUACUGAUCCUGAGGGGGCUGGAGCAGCUCCAGGUCAGUGUCAGGGGCUGAGACCAGCAUUGGAAGAGAAGGCGUGCGGCUUAGCAUGGAGGCCAGGAGGGGAAACGGUGAGGAGAGAAGAGGGCGUCCCAAGAUGCCCUGCCCAGCAUGGCUAUCACUGGAAAAUGAGAAAGGAUGUGGAGCUCAUUGUGUAUUUUUAUGACGUUGAGCGGAUUUAAUCCUUUUCUGCCUAGGGCUGUUCACUCUUCAUGAAUGUCUUGGGGAUUUGGCCAAUUGUGAGAAUGUUUCUGGUGAUAUUAAACCUCAUUUUAUGAGGUUGGCGGCCAUUACUUUCAAACCAUAAAUCUUAUCCUCUAAAAAAAUGAGAAUGAUCCCUUCGAAAAAUCCCACUUGAUGAUGAGAAGUUUGGUCGUGGAAAAUACAUAAAAUUCGGGAUCCCCUUUUUUUGCCUCAGGCCUGAAUGUGGGCUGGGGUCAGGCAUUCGGAGCCGUGUGAGGGGCUAGAAUCUCAGGAAAGCCUCUCUGACUGAUGCUACGGUGGAGCAACGAGAACACUCGGUGGCAUAAACUUUCAGAAAGACAGUAGAGAAAAAGGAAGGAGGAUGCACCCCAGUCCAUGACACCCGCCCUGCACGUUGUUAGUUGGGGUCACGUGUCCAGCUUCUCCAAUAUGGCGGCUGCGUGGCCCUGGCCCACUUGCUGUACUCUCCUUGUGGUGUGGCCAGAACUGUGGCUCUCCUUUCACCUCACGCCCUCAGAUCAAUGGCUGUCGGUGGCCAUUCAUUCAGAACUCCCUCAAUAAGAGUAUUUUGUGGUAAAUUUUGUUUGGGGGAUGCUGCAGGUUAUUUUCCGCUUCUGGAGAUUCCCAGUGAGUAUCAGAAGUUUUGAUAAAGACUUUUUUUUUUUUUUUUUAGCAAAAAGCCAGCAGAGCCAGCUGCUUGGACCCAGGGGUCCUUGGUUGUUCCCAGGGCCCAGGUCAUGCCCUGUAAGAGUGGAGCUUAUGAAGUUACCCACACACCUAUCUCCAGAGACUCUCAUUUCCAACCUGCUCGGGACCCAAGAAGGCUCAGUUGUUCAGAUCUAAAAACGCAUUACAUAAUUUUCCUCGCCAUUCAUUCUUCUAUAUGAUAGCAGGGAGAAAAUCCGCUUUCGUGCCUUGACAGAUGUGCGGUUGCUAAUUUAACUAGGGCUGCUUGGAGGAGGGAAGAUUCUGUCCUGCUGCGGGCCCUGCUGUGCAACUCAACUCAUGACCGAUCCUGCAGAUCACAGGAGACCCCGCAGUGCUGGAAGAACCCAGAGCUCAGGGCAAAGGGGAGCUUCGAGCGCUCCUAAAAUAUAGGGAGGGACCCUGGAUCAUUGACUGGGCCUCACCAUCUGGAGAAGAGAUUCUGGAGAAGUUGUCUCUGGAACCCCAUGAAUGGCGUAGCUGGUCCUGCUCUGCUGGUUCCCUGUUCCCUGCAGAAUGAAAUCCAGAUGCCCUCCACGUCCAUCCCCACUGCUGGGGGAACCCCUCUAGGCAGACAACAUGGCCCAGCCGUCGUCACCCUGAGGUCUGGCACGGUGCCUGGUAGGACUCAGCCAGUAUCUGAGGACUAAAGGAAAUUUUGUAAAACACCAUAAAAAGGCUUGUUCUGUAUCCAGAUAAAAUGGAAGCUCUUUCUAUCCUCUCAAAAUAUCCCUUUUUCAAACCAAACUCAAUUUCCUAGCUAAAAGCCAUUAUCAAACACCAGGCUCACCUCUUGGUUGUACACGCGGGUGUUUAUUAAGGCCACCCAUAAACUUAAAACACCUUCUUUCAAAUCUGACUUCUUUCAUUUCUUUUUGUGUUAUUCUUGUAGUGGAGCUUCAGUUUUUGUUAAAGGAAGUCUGUCUCUAAUGUACUGUUUCAGCACAAGUUUCUUUUAAUUGACUAACUGAACACCCCAGGGUAAGUGGCUGUCCCAGCCUAAGGAGGAUGGGCUGUAGGCUCUUGAAUUGUCCUGGUCUCAGGGCAACUUUUCCAGCAAGAGCAAACACAGGGCCUACGGCCUACAAAAAUGUUUUAACUUAAAAUUCUUUUGAAAUCAGAAGAAGUGAUAAAUUUGAUUCAUAUAUAUAAUAUGUAACAUGUAAACCCAGCCUGGAUUAUAUUUGUCUCCUGCUCUGCUGUGAAUGUCCCCACCGAAACUCAUGUUGAAACUUAAUCCCCAAUGUGGCAGGAUUGAGGGGUGGAGCCUUUAAGGGGUGAGUGGGUCACAAGGGCUCUGCCCUCAUGAGUGGAUUAAUCCAUUCAAGGAUUAAUGGGUUAAUGGAUUAUCACGGGAGUGGGACUGGUGACCUUAUAAGAAGAGGAAGAGAGACCUGAGCUAGCAUGUUAGCCCGCUCAGCCCCCUCGUGGCGUGAUGUCCUGCAGCAACUCUGCAGCAUCCCCACUAGCAAGAGGGCCUUCACCAGAUGUGGUUCCUCAACCUGGCACUUCUCAGUCUCCGUAACUGAAAGAAAUAAAUUCCUUUUCUUUAUAAAUGACCCAGUUUCAGGUAUGCUGAUAUAAGCAACAGAAAACAAACUAAGACAUCUUCAUAUCAAUGCAAUUGCAAAAUAUAUUUGUAAUGUUUUUUGGAAGAAAGGUCUUAUGAAGGCAAAGAUGCCUCGGGGCCCCAGAAGUCACCAUGCAGCUCUGCGUGGUCAGCAUUACCUAUGUUACUGGACCCCUCACAGCUUCUGCCCUCCGGCUCUAUCCACAGCAAGAAGGUAAGCCAGUUAUUUUGUUUGUUUGUUUGUUUGUUUGAGAUAGAGUUUCACUCUUGUUGUCCAGGCUGGAGUGCAAUGGCAUGAUCUUGGCUCACUGCAACCUCGGCCUCCCGGGUUCAAGUGAUUCUCCUACCUCAGCCUCUCGAGUAGCUGGGAUUACAGGUGCCCACCACCAUGGCUGGCUAAUUUUUGUAUUUUUUUAGUAGAGACGGGGUUUCACCAUGUUGGCCAGGCUGGUCUCAAACUCCUGACCUCAGGUGAUCUGCCCACCUCAGCCUCCCAAAGUGCUGGGAUUAAAGGCAUCAGCAACUGCAUCUGGUGGUGAGCCAGUUUUGAAGGUUUGGUGACAGUGGGUGGGAAAAGUGCUCUGUGAUUUCCCAUCCCCCAGAGCAGCCUCGCGAGAGAACACCACGUUAUGAUAGUGGCUUCAGGGACACAGGGCUGCUCUGACUGCCAAUCCCAUGAGGUCGGAGGGCCUUCAGAAAAGCCUGAGGUGGUCAGGUCAGCGCUCAGCCCAGCCUGGGUGCCAUUUCCUUUGGGUUUACACAUUGGAGCUGCCCCAGCCCUCCAGGUGAGGCACAGAGUGGGGUGCAUACGCCCCUUCCAUGGGACAAAUGCCCUCUCAUAGCCUGGGGACCCAGGCAGCUCUCAGGAGGAGUCUUUGCUGGCUUGGAUUCCUAUCAGACAAGCUUAGUUUGUGCAUUUUUUGUUUAGGAAAAUUCCUUUUAACCUCUGGAUUUGUGACGUCCUGAGAAGUGUGUAUUAAACAGAAAAGGUUCUCUGUGCCUCAUGAAUACAUUAAUUAGCGCCUCUGUAUCCUAGGGCAGCAGGUGCCUUGGGACAGAUGUCAUUAAACAGCUCUGAGGUCAAGCGCAUGGAGCAGAUGGUGCACUGGGCACAGGGAGGCAGCCCCGUGUCCCUGCAGGGGCCCUGGACAAGCACCUAGGCCAUGGGUCAAGGUCUCCGCUCCAGCUCUUCUAGCUGUGGGUACAGGACCCUUUCCAAGUACUGUCUGGAGGCCAGGUUCUGGGCAACAGAUCUUCGUGUACUUUUCAUUUUGACCCUCGCCACAAUCCUCUGAGAAGGCAGAUGAGGAAACUGAUCUUUCGAGAGGUUGCAGAGACGUGUGCCAAAUCGUUCAAUGGGUGACCCUCAAGUGGCCUGGUGGCUUCCUGCUUGCUGUCUCCAUGUCCUGGGCAGCUGGCAUUCCCAGCACCUCCUGAAACAGCCCACAUCUAUGCUCAGACUGCCCUGUGCUCUUGCGCCAUUUGUCCCUCCCCCUAAAGACUCCCUUUAUGCCCAAUACAAAGGAAGAACAAGGGGGACAGGACCCCUCUCCUCCAGCACAAGCAUAGCACAGCCCGCUGUGCAGGCUCUGAGCAGGAUGCUGAGAGAAUGCAGGACAGACCCAGGCACCUGCAGACCCUCCUCCCUGUGAGGUCCCACCUGCCCCACAUGACACUGUGCAGUUGCCUGUGCCCCUUAGCAUAACCAAGGUCAGGCACUGGUCCCAAGGUCACACAGGGCCAGAGCUCAGAUUUAAACAAAGCUGAGUGAUUCUAGAACCUGUGUGUGCCAAAGCACUGCAUUCUACCUAAGUGCUGGGUUUUUUGUUUUUUGUUUUUCGUCUAAAACAGCCUACAGAAUCCUGGCCUUGGCUUUCUCACCAGACUUCUGGGAAGGUCAAAUGAGAUAAUAUAUGCAAAAGCACUCUGUCAGUGAAAAGUGCUCUGUUUCUGGUCUAAUAACCCUCCCCAACCCACUCACAGUUCUUCAUUUUCAAAUUCCUUAGUGAGCAGUUGGUUUCGUUGUCUUAAUUUGGGGCAGUAAUGAUUUCUGAGAAGCAGGUGAUUGAUAACGCGCAAAUUCAAAGCCCCUUGGGGGCUGCAUUGUAGCAUGGUGUGGGGAUGGGGAGACAGAGGGCUGGUAGGAUCCCGAAUUCCUAGUUUUUCUCUCCCUCUCCCUUGCUUCUUCAUUUUCUUCCUUCAGGCUUUCUUCCAUUUCUUUCUUCCAUCAAAUAUUUGUGGAGCUGGAACUGGGCUUCACUAUCAUAUUCCAAGGCCCUGUACUGGGAACAGACAAAGAAGCUCCUCCCAGAGACUGGAAGAAUGGUACAAGGUGUGAAAACCAAGGCUUAAAGCAUGCAAGUUAUUUGCCCGAGGUUUUUCAGCCACAAAUGAAGAAGCUGGGUCUGCUCCACACCUGUGAACCAGGCUAUUUCCACCAUAACCUGAACUCAGAUGAGCACCAGCCCAUGGAGAAUAGUCCAGAAGGCUGCCCAUAGCCUUAAAGGACAGUCAGCCUCACAAAAUGAGUGUUAUAUUCUGGAUUAUCAGAAGAGAAAUGUGAGAUGCAGGCAGGUUGAGAAAAUUGCUCCAAGUCACUUCGGGAAUGUGUGCAUGGACAAGGCGAUUUCGUGCUGAAGUACUUGGGGUGAUUGCUGCGCUGCCUGCAAUUUACUUUCAAAUAGCUCAGCAGAAACGAUACGCAGGGACAAGGAGAGAGCAGACCUGGUGAAACGUUAACAACUGAUGAAUCCAAGUGAAGAGUGCAUGCCCUUACUUGUACUGUUGUUUCAACUUUUCUGCAGGAGGUUCUUAUUUCCCCCUCAUUGAGUCUGGGCUGGCCGUGUGGCUGUUCAACCAACAGAAAGCAGCAGAAGUGUACUGUGCAGUCCGGGGCCCAGGCUUUUAGAGAACUGUGGCUUUCUCUGCCUCCUUCUUGGAAUCCACUUACCAUGUUGAGAGGGGCCCAAGCCACAUAGAGGCCAACAGCCAAGUAUUUGCAGCCAUCUGGGUGAGCCAUCUAGGACAUUCCACGCCAAUCAGACCCCUGGAUUGGAGCAGUGGAGCAGACAUGGAGCAGAUGCAGCCCAGCGAAGGCCAGUAUCACAGGCCAGAACAAAAUGUUUUAAGCCAUUAAAUUUUGGUGUGACUUGCUCUGCAGCCAGAUAACUGAAAUAGGUGUAACCGAAAAGUCCGUAAGAAGGAAGAUUUACCUUGCUGACCAAUGCAGAAUAACAAAGCACAGGAAAUAACAUUUGCUGGGUCGGAAGACAACUGUCUGGAACAGGUGAUGACAUCCUUAGCCUUUAGUAGGUUUUGACUUCAAAACUGACCCCGGCUUUCAUGCCUCUUUUUGAUGCUCAACACGGACAAUUUCAAAAAGAAAAAAUUUCACUUUAAUCCAGCCUCACCCCCACAUGUGUGUUUCACACAGACCUUAUUUUUUAAACAGAGU